This 733-nucleotide non-coding RNA is filed under the name Pan troglodytes (chimpanzee). The record is from RNAcentral. Lineage: Eukaryota; Metazoa; Chordata; Mammalia; Primates; Hominidae.
GUGAGGUGUAGUCGCGGCAACUAGGAGGUGGGCGUGUGGUACGCGGCGCGCGGGAGGGUGGCUUGAAAGGGUCUUUAUGAACCCUAGGGAAAGGCCGUCUGGUGCACCCACCACUAGAAUUUGAACAUCCUAAGAACAGGUAUUUUUGUCUCUGCUUUGCUGAUGUAUCCUCAGCAACCGGAACUGCCUGACAUCUGAUCCUUUCUGUGAGACACCAGGCUGUUGAGGAAGAAUCUAUGGCAACAUUGUAUCUAUUAAUAUACAGCUUCUGUAUUUAUCAGGCCCAGUUCUGGUGAUGAUUUCACUUUUGACAGAAGCUGUCCCUCAAAAGCAAACAUGCAAUAGAAGAAACAGAUCUCAAUGCCAUCCAUCUGCAGUUGUGACAAGCAAAAAAGUCUCCAGACAUGGCCAAAUGUCCCCUGGGGGGCAAAAUCACCCCCCAGUUGAGAACUACUGCUCUAAACUAUGGAGUCUCACUCUGUCACCCAGGAUGGAGUACAGUGGCGUGAUCUCGGCUCACUGCAAGCUCCGCCUCCUGGGUUCAUGCCAUUCUCCUGCCUUAGCCUCCCGAGUAGCUGGGACUACAGGCGCCCGCCACCACGCCCGGCUAAUUUUUGUAUUUUUAGUAGAGACAGGGUUUCACCGUGUUAGCCAGGAUGGUCUCGAUCUCCUGACCUCGUGAUCCGCCCCCCUCAGCCUCCCAAAGUGCUGGGAUUACAGGCGUGAGUCACUG